GACAGAGGGUGCAAACGUUUGUUCGGAAUUACUGGGCGUAAAGCGCGUGUAGGUGGCAAGGCAAGUCGGGUGUGAAAGCCCUGGGCUCAACCCAGGAAGUGCACUCGAUACUGCCUCGCUAGAGUCCCGGAGAGGUUGGUGGAACUCUCGGUGUAGAGGUGAAAUUCGUAGAUAUCGAGAAGAACACCGGUGGCGAAGGCGGCCAACUGGACGGUGACUGACACUGAGACGCGAAAGCGUGGGGAGCAAACAGGG
RNAcentral lists this ribosomal RNA (255 nucleotides) under uncultured bacterium. Its description in RNAcentral is "partial 16S ribosomal RNA". It matches the Rfam family "Bacterial small subunit ribosomal RNA", at positions 524 to 777 of the family's 1533-position model. The record is from RNAcentral.